RNAcentral lists this ribosomal RNA (1516 nucleotides) under Salmonella enterica subsp. enterica serovar Paratyphi A. RNAcentral's name for it is "bacterial LSU rRNA". It matches the Rfam family "Bacterial large subunit ribosomal RNA", at positions 1466 to 2925 of the family's 2925-position model. The record is from RNAcentral. Lineage: Bacteria; Pseudomonadati; Pseudomonadota; Gammaproteobacteria; Enterobacterales; Enterobacteriaceae.
GGGGGGACGGAGAAGGCUAUGUUGGCCGGGCGACGGUUGUCCCGGUUUAAGCGUGUAGGUGUGUGUUCCAGGUAAAUCCGGUUCACUUUAACACUGAGGCGUGACGACGAGGCACUACGGUGCUGAAGCAACAAAUGCCCUGCUUCCAGGAAAAGCCUCUAAGCAUCAGGUAACAUCAAAUCGUACCCCAAACCGACACAGGUGGUCAGGUAGAGAAUACCAAGGCGCUUGAGAGAACUCGGGUGAAGGAACUAGGCAAAAUGGUGCCGUAACUUCGGGAGAAGGCACGCUGACACGUAGGUGAAGUGAUUUACUCAUGGAGCUGAAGUCAGUCGAAGAUACCAGCUGGCUGCAACUGUUUAUUAAAAACACAGCACUGUGCAAACACGAAAGUGGACGUAUACGGUGUGACGCCUGCCCGGUGCCGGAAGGUUAAUUGAUGGGGUCAGCGCAAGCGAAGCUCCUGAUCGAAGCCCCGGUAAACGGCGGCCGUAACUAUAACGGUCCUAAGGUAGCGAAAUUCCUUGUCGGGUAAGUUCCGACCUGCACGAAUGGCGUAAUGAUGGCCAGGCUGUCUCCACCCGAGACUCAGUGAAAUUGAACUCGCUGUGAAGAUGCAGUGUACCCGCGGCAAGACGGAAAGACCCCGUGAACCUUUACUAUAGCUUGACACUGAACAUUGAGCCUUGAUGUGUAGGAUAGGUGGGAGGCUUUGAAGUGUGGACGCCAGUCUGCAUGGAGCCGACCUUGAAAUACCACCCUUUAAUGUUUGAUGUUCUAACGUGGACCCGUUACCCGGGUUGCGGACAGUGUCUGGUGGGUAGUUUGACUGGGGCGGUCUCCUCCUAAAGAGUAACGGAGGAGCACGAAGGUUGGCUAAUCCUGGUCGGACAUCAGGAGGUUAGUGCAAUGGCAUAAGCCAGCUUGACUGCGAGCGUGACGGCGCGAGCAGGUGCGAAAGCAGGUCAUAGUGAUCCGGUGGUUCUGAAUGGAAGGGCCAUCGCUCAACGGAUAAAAGGUACUCCGGGGAUAACAGGCUGAUACCGCCCAAGAGUUCAUAUCGACGGCGGUGUUUGGCACCUCGAUGUCGGCUCAUCACAUCCUGGGGCUGAAGUAGGUCCCAAGGGUAUGGCUGUUCGCCAUUUAAAGUGGUACGCGAGCUGGGUUUAGAACGUCGUGAGACAGUUCGGUCCCUAUCUGCCGUGGGCGCUGGAGAACUGAGGGGGGCUGCUCCUAGUACGAGAGGACCGGAGUGGACGCAUCACUGGUGUUCGGGUUGUCAUGCCAAUGGCACUGCCCGGUAGCUAAAUGCGGAAGAGAUAAGUGCUGAAAGCAUCUAAGCACGAAACUUGCCCCGAGAUGAGUUCUCCCUGAGACUUAGAGUCUCCUGAAGGAACGUUGAAGACGACGACGUUGAUAGGCCGGGUGUGUAAGCGCAGCGAUGCGUUGAGCUAACCGGUACUAAUGAACCGUGAGGCUUAACCUUACAACGCCGAAGAUGUUUUGGCGGAUGAGA